GAUGAACGCUAGCGGGAGGCCUAACACAUGCAAGCCGAGCGGUAUUGUUUCUUCGGAAAUGAGAGAGCGGCGUACGGGUGCGUAACACGUGUGCAACCUGCCUUUAUCUGGGGGAUAGCCUUUCGAAAGGAAGAUUAAUACUCCAUAAUAUAUUGAACGGCAUCGUUUAAUAUUGAAAGCUCCGGCGGAUAGAGAUGGGCACGCGCAAGAUUAGCUAGUUGGUGAGGUAACGGCUCACCAAGGUGAUGAUCUUUAGGGGGCCUGAGAGGGUGAUCCCCCACACUGGUACUGAGACACGGACCAGACUCCUACGGGAGGCAGCAGUGAGGAAUAUUGGUCAAUGGGUGCAAGCCUGAACCAGCCAUCCCGCGUGAAGGACGACUGCCCUAUGGGUUGUAAACUUCUUUUGUAUAGGGAUAAACCUACCCUCGAGAGGGUAGCUGAAGGCACUAUACGAAUAAGCACCGGCUAACUCCGUG
RNAcentral lists this ribosomal RNA (479 nucleotides) under uncultured bacterium. Its description in RNAcentral is "partial 16S ribosomal RNA". It matches the Rfam family "Bacterial small subunit ribosomal RNA", at positions 28 to 507 of the family's 1533-position model. The record is from RNAcentral.